This 800-nucleotide ribosomal RNA is filed under the name uncultured bacterium. RNAcentral describes it as "bacterial SSU rRNA". It matches the Rfam family "Bacterial small subunit ribosomal RNA", at positions 8 to 802 of the family's 1533-position model. The record is from RNAcentral.
AGAGUUUGAUCCUGGCUCAGAUUGAACGCUGGCGGCAGGCUUAACACAUGCAAGUCGAGCGGAGCGAAGGUGCUUGCACCUUAGCUUAGCGGCGGACGGGUGAGUAAUGCUUAGGAAUCUGCCUAUUAGUGGGGGACAACGUUUCGAAAGGAACGCUAAUACCGCAUACGUCCUACGGGAGAAAGCAGGGGAUCUUCGGACCUUGUGCUAAUAGAUGAGCCUAAGUCGGAUUAGCUAGUUGGUGGGGUAAAGGCCUACCAAGGCGACGAUCUGUAGCGGGUCUGAGAGGAUGAUCCGCCACACUGGGACUGAGACACGGCCCAGACUCCUACGGGAGGCAGCAGUGGGGAAUAUUGGACAAUGGGCGAAAGCCUGAUCCAGCCAUGCCGCGUGUGUGAAGAAGGCCUUUUGGUUGUAAAGCACUUUAAGCGAGGAGGAGGAGCUUCAGGUUAAUACCCUGGACGCUUGGACGUUACUCGCAGAAUAAGCACCGGCUAACCCUGUGCCAGCAGCCGCGGUAAUACAGAGGGUGCAAGCGUUAAUCGGAUUUACUGGGCGUAAAGCGUGCGUAGGCGGCUAAUUAAGUCAAAUGUGAAAUCCCCGAGCUUAACUUGGGAAUUGCAUUCGAUACUGGUUAGCUAGAGUAUGGGAGAGGAUGGUAGAAUUCCAGGUGUAGCGGUGAAAUGCGUAGAGAUCUGGAGGAAUACCGAUGGCGAAAGCAGCCAUCUGGCCUAAUACUGACGCUGAGGUACGAAAGCAUGGGGAGCAAACAGGAUUAGAUACCCUGGUAGUCCAUGCCG